AUUGAACGCUGGCGGUAUGCCUAACACAUGCAAGUCGAACGCGAACGUACCUUCGGGUGCUAUUAGAGUGGCGGACGGGUGAGUAACGCGUAAGAAUCUGCCCAGUAGUGGGGGACAACUCGGAGAAAUCCGAGCUAAUACCGCAUACGCCCUACGGGGGAAAGGGGGCUUCGGCUCUCGCUAUUGGAUGAGCUUGCGUUGGAUUAGCUUGUUGGUGAGGUAACGGCUCACCAAGGCGACGAUCCAUAGCUGGUCUGAGAGGACGACCAGUCACACUGGGACUGAGACACGGCCCAG
RNAcentral lists this ribosomal RNA (297 nucleotides) under uncultured bacterium. RNAcentral describes it as "partial 16S ribosomal RNA". It matches the Rfam family "Bacterial small subunit ribosomal RNA", at positions 30 to 334 of the family's 1533-position model. The record is from RNAcentral.